GAGGGUGAUCGGCCACACUGGAACUGAGACACGGUCCAGACUCCUACGGGAGGCAGCAGUAGGGAAUCUUCCGCAAUGGGCGAAAGCCUGACGGAGCAACGCCGCGUGAGUGAUGAAGGUCUUCGGAUCGUAAAACUCUGUUAUUAGGGAAGAACAUAUGUGUAAGUAACUGUGCACAUCUUGACGGUACCUAAUCAGAAAGCCACGGCUAACUACGUGCCAGCAGCCGCGGUAAUACGUAGGUGGCAAGCGUUAUCCGGAAUUAUUGGGCGUAAAGCGCGCGUAGGCGGUUUUUUAAGUCUGAUGUGAAAGCCCACGGCUCAACCGUGGAGGGUCAUUGGAAACUGGAAAACUUGAGUGCAGAAGAGGAAAGUGGAAUUCCAUGUGUAGCGGUGAAAUGCGCAGAGAUAUGGAGGAACACCAGUGGCGAAGGCGACUUUCUGGUCUGUAACUGACGCUGAUGUGCGAAAGCGUGGGGAUCAAACAGGAUUAGAUACCCUGGUAGUCCACGCCGUAAACGAUGAGUGCUAAGUGUUAGGGGGUUUCCGCCCCUUAGUGCUGCAGCUAACGCAUUAAGCACUCCGCCUGGGGAGUACGACCGCAAGGUUGAAACUCAAAGGAAUUGACGGC
RNAcentral lists this ribosomal RNA (630 nucleotides) under uncultured bacterium. RNAcentral describes it as "bacterial SSU rRNA". It matches the Rfam family "Bacterial small subunit ribosomal RNA", at positions 296 to 917 of the family's 1533-position model. The record is from RNAcentral.